This 978-nucleotide ribosomal RNA is filed under the name Acinetobacter baumannii. RNAcentral's name for it is "bacterial SSU rRNA". It matches the Rfam family "Bacterial small subunit ribosomal RNA", at positions 1 to 971 of the family's 1533-position model. Lineage: Bacteria; Pseudomonadati; Pseudomonadota; Gammaproteobacteria; Moraxellales; Moraxellaceae. RNAcentral also lists the same sequence under 1 other name. The record is from RNAcentral.
UUUAACUGAAGAGUUUGAUCAUGGCUCAGAUUGAACGCUGGCGGCAGGCUUAACACAUGCAAGUCGAGCGGGGGAAGGUAGCUUGCUACUGGACCUAGCGGCGGACGGGUGAGUAAUGCUUAGGAAUCUGCCUAUUAGUGGGGGACAACAUCUCGAAAGGGAUGCUAAUACCGCAUACGUCCUACGGGAGAAAGCAGGGGAUCUUCGGACCUUGCGCUAAUAGAUGAGCCUAAGUCGGAUUAGCUAGUUGGUGGGGUAAAGGCCUACCAAGGCGACGAUCUGUAGCGGGUCUGAGAGGAUGAUCCGCCACACUGGGACUGAGACACGGCCCAGACUCCUACGGGAGGCAGCAGUGGGGAAUAUUGGACAAUGGGGGGAACCCUGAUCCAGCCAUGCCGCGUGUGUGAAGAAGGCCUUAUGGUUGUAAAGCACUUUAAGCGAGGAGGAGGCUACUUUAGUUAAUACCUAGAGAUAGUGGACGUUACUCGCAGAAUAAGCACCGGCUAACUCUGUGCCAGCAGCCGCGGUAAUACAGAGGGUGCGAGCGUUAAUCGGAUUUACUGGGCGUAAAGCGUGCGUAGGCGGCUUAUUAAGUCGGAUGUGAAAUCCCCGAGCUUAACUUGGGAAUUGCAUUCGAUACUGGUGAGCUAGAGUAUGGGAGAGGAUGGUAGAAUUCCAGGUGUAGCGGUGAAAUGCGUAGAGAUCUGGAGGAAUACCGAUGGCGAAGGCAGCCAUCUGGCCUAAUACUGACGCUGAGGUACGAAAGCAUGGGGAGCAAACAGGAUUAGAUACCCUGGUAGUCCAUGCCGUAAACGAUGUCUACUAGCCGUUGGGGCCUUUGAGGCUUUAGUGGCGCAGCUAACGCGAUAAGUAGACCGCCUGGGGAGUACGGUCGCAAGACUAAAACUCAAAUGAAUUGACGGGGGCCCGCACAAGCGGUGGAGCAUGUGGUUUAAUUCGAUGCAACGCGAAGAACCU